GCAGGGGUUCCCAAGUGGUCAAAGGGGCAGGGUUCAGGGCCCUGUGGCUUAGUGCCUUCGUGGGUUCGAAUCCCACCCCCUGCA
This 84-nucleotide transfer RNA is filed under the name Nanobdellota archaeon. RNAcentral's name for it is "Nanoarchaeota archaeon tRNA-Leu". It matches the Rfam family "tRNA". From Rfam's summary of the family: Transfer RNA (tRNA) molecules are approximately 80 nucleotides in length. Their secondary structure includes four short double-helical elements and three loops (D, anti-codon, and T loops). The record is from RNAcentral. Lineage: Archaea; Nanobdellati; Nanobdellota. RNAcentral also lists the same sequence under 1 other name.